CACCGCCCGUCACAUCACGAAAGUGGGCUGUACUAGAAGUGGCUGAGCUAACCCUUUGGGAGGCAGGUCACGACGGUAUGGUUCAUGAUUGGGGUG
This 96-nucleotide ribosomal RNA is filed under the name uncultured bacterium. RNAcentral describes it as "partial 16S ribosomal RNA". It matches the Rfam family "Bacterial small subunit ribosomal RNA", at positions 1388 to 1482 of the family's 1533-position model. The record is from RNAcentral.